Biomphalaria glabrata is the source of this 424-nucleotide long non-coding RNA. RefSeq lists it as uncharacterized. Lineage: Eukaryota; Metazoa; Mollusca; Gastropoda; Planorbidae. The transcript is spliced from 3 exons. The record is from RefSeq and is a predicted model, not a curated record.
GAUACCAUUGCUGCUCAAGUCUGAAUUCAAUCUCACAGUCUUGAGCCUAUAUGAUGGAAGACUGACACUUUAUCCACUGAGAUAUACAAGUUCUUAUAAAAAUAGAAGACACGUGACAUAUGGAAAAACAAAAAAAAAGGUUCACUGGUCCAAUUCUAAACACUGAGCAUGAAAGAGAACAGACUUAUCAAGAUAGCUUACAACUGGAAAAUGGAGAGAAAAAAAAGUGAUUAAAAUGAGUUAACUCUACUUAAGUCACUCAAAGCUGAAGACUAAGAACUUCAAAAGAUAUUGCACAUGAAUAAUGGAUAAGAUAACCCAUGUGAUAGCAACAUCAAAGGCAUGUCAAACAAUUAUUUCCCUUUCAAGGUUUAUUAACUUUUAUUUACUCAACUAUUAUUAAAAUGCAUAUAUAUUCUUAAAA